UGGCUCCACAAAUGUCAAAUCUCAGACUGAGCUCAGAGAUGUUGGACAGAGGAGAAAACGAGGUGAUCCAGGGAAGAGCUCCGACUACUAGAAUGUGAAUCCAGACUCAUCUACAGCGUAUGUACUGGACAACUGAGGAUGAUCUUGACACUAUAUUUGGACAACAGACCUAAAGAGACUAAAUACCAGCCUCUUAAAUGACUCUCAAUGCCAAAAUUAC
Mugil cephalus (flathead mullet) is the source of this 220-nucleotide long non-coding RNA. RefSeq lists it as uncharacterized. The record is from RefSeq and is a predicted model, not a curated record. NCBI's taxonomy places the organism in Eukaryota, Metazoa, Chordata, Actinopteri, Mugiliformes, Mugilidae. The transcript has 3 exons.